GGUAUAGACCCGAAACCCGGUGAUCUAGCCAUGGGCAGGUUGAAGGUUGGGUAACACUAACUGGAGGACCGAACCGACUAAUGUUGAAAAAUUAGCGGAUGACUUGUGGCUGGGGGUGAAAGGCCAAUCAAACCGGGAGAUAGCUGGUUCUCCCCGAAAGCUAUUUAGGUAGCGCCUCGUGAACUCAUCUUCGGGGGUAGAGCACUGUUUCGGCUAGGGGGUCAUCCCGAC
RNAcentral lists this ribosomal RNA (231 nucleotides) under Acinetobacter baumannii. RNAcentral describes it as "partial 23S ribosomal RNA". It matches the Rfam family "Bacterial large subunit ribosomal RNA", at positions 706 to 935 of the family's 2925-position model. Lineage: Bacteria; Pseudomonadati; Pseudomonadota; Gammaproteobacteria; Moraxellales; Moraxellaceae. The record is from RNAcentral.